This 1465-nucleotide long non-coding RNA is filed under the name Piliocolobus tephrosceles (Ugandan red Colobus). RNAcentral's name for it is "lncRNA (ENSPTEG00000004305.1)". The record is from RNAcentral. Lineage: Eukaryota; Metazoa; Chordata; Mammalia; Primates; Cercopithecidae.
AUGAAGUUAAACAGAACAAAUAAAACAAAUGAAAAAGUACAAGUAAAAACGAUAUAUUUUAUUAGGCAUAGUGAGUCAGUAUGGAAUAGUGUUAUUAAUAAAAAACUAACAGCCAAAACUUUUAUUAAUUUGAUUUUAGUAUUAUUAUAUGAACUCAUUUUUUUGUUUAGUAGAAAAACUGUAUUGAUAGAUUCACCUUUAAGUAAUACAGGCUUAAUACAAUCAAUCGAGUUAUCCAAUUUUUUGAAAGGGGAUGUAGAUGAUAGUACAAAUAAUGCUACUACUGCUGCUGAUAACUAUAAUAAUAAUAAUACUAAAUUAUGUAACAUAUCAAUGUGUCAAGAGCAAAAUGAAAAUAAUAGGAACACAAAAAAAAAACGCCAUGAGCAAGUAGCUGCCGAAUUGAUUAAUGUAAAUGAAUUAAAAUAUAACACAAUGAAAACUGAAAAUAGUACAAAUCGUUAUGGAGGAAGUACUAGUGAUAUAUGCAAUGGUAAUGUUUGUAAUAAUAAAAGAAAUACCGAAACGUUGAUAAAUUAUAGUCAAUUGGGUGUUACAAACAGAAGGACAGACAGCGAAUUACAAGAAAAAUCUAUUGACGAGCUUACAAAAAAAGAAAGUUACAAUAAACAAAUAGAUGGUAUAAGAGACAGUUACAAACAAAAUAUAAACGGUGAUAAUAUUAUCAAUAAUUAUUGUAAAAAUGAAGAUAAUAAUGGUAUUUAUAAUAAUAUAAAAAAUAUGAAUAUACAAGAACAUAUAGAUAUAUUAAACAAUAAAAAAUAUAAAAGUGUAUUAUUAUGUUCUAAUUUAAGAAGAACUAUUUCAAGUUGUUGUAUUUCAUUUUAUAAUCGCAUAAAUAAACAUAAUGAAACUGUACAUGCUUUAGAUUCAUUAGAAGAAAUAAGUAGAAACCCAGAUUGUCUUUCUUUAUUCCCUUAUUAUAAUAAUACUUAUAUAACUACUGAUAUUGAAAAUUUUAUACAUAAAGAUAUAGGUAAAUUAAUUAGUAAUAACAUUAAAAUAGAAAAUAAUUAUAUAACUAAUAAAUUUAUUAAUACACUGUCAUAUAUUUUUAAUGACGAAAAUGAAAUUUUUAUUAUUUUUGGUCAUAGUUUAUGGUUUCGACUUUUUUUUAAUUAUUUUUUAAAACAACGACAUAUAGCAAAAACAAAUAAAAUCAAAAACUCAGGAAUAGUAGUGUUUAACAUGUAUAAAUAUAACGAUAACGAUGAGGAAAGAUAUGAAGUCGAAAAGGAUAGUGUCAGGGUGUUAUAUAAAGGUUUUGAAAAUGAGUACAUGCAUGCAAGUUAACAAGUGUGCUCACAUUGAUAGUGGUAUGUGUGAAUGCAGAGGGGGAGGGAGGGCUUAACUAACGAUGGUGUUAAAACUUAUAGUGUGAACUGUAUAUCAACAACGUAAAAUCUUAAUGUGAGUAAAUAAAAUGGAAAAACCAAAUAAAGCA